Molecule: RNA transcript, 1070 nt
Organism: Ficedula albicollis (Collared flycatcher)
Lineage: Eukaryota; Metazoa; Chordata; Aves; Passeriformes; Muscicapidae
Gene: OCIAD2
Gene name: OCIA domain containing 2
Exons: 9
Source: RefSeq, a predicted model, not a curated record
AAGACCUGUUAGGAGUGGCUGAGGGAGCUGCGGGUGUUUAGCCUGGAGAAAAGGAGGCUCGGGGAGACCUUUAUUGCCCUCUACAACCACCUCACCAGAAAGAGAAGUAGGCAAGCAUAAAAUAGCAAGCACAGCUUCUGCUGAACAAGGGUGGUAGCAGACUACAAGGAAAGAGACAAUGUCUUCUGAAACAGUCCAACAGGGAAGUCAGACACCUCCAAUAAAGCAACGUGGAUGGCCAAUGAUAUUUUGUCCCCUCUCCCAAAUUCAAGACAAAGAGAUUGCAAAGAUCCUUAAAGAAUGCAAACAGGAAAGUUUCUGGUAUAGAGCUCUUCCUUUAUCUCUUGGGAGCAUGCUUGUCACCCAGGGGCUAAUCUCAAAAGGCAUUUUCUCAGCCAGCCCAAGAUUUGGUCCAUACCCCAAGAUGGCAAUUGCUGGUUUUUUGGGUUAUGCCAUUGGAAAGAUGUCAUACAUGGGAGAAUGCCAAAAAAAGUUUCAGAAAAUUGGUAUUGCACCAUUUGGUCCACAACAAAAAAGGAGAUGUCAUCAUGCUUGCAAAGAAUGUAAAGCAAAAUCAGGAUCGAAUGAGAGAGACGGUACAAUUCCUUCAACAUCUUAGUCCCAGCCUUCCUCUGUGAGCUGGCAAUAUUUUUUCUGGUGUGUGAGUACCAAUUAGCUUUUAAAUGAUAUCCAAAUUGUCACAAAUACAAAGGAGCCAUGCAGCUUUUUGAGGGGAAGAACACAGGAGGCCACAGACCCCUCUCCUUGUUUUCUCUCCUUGUUUUCUCUCCUUGUUUUCUCUCCUUGUUUUCUUCCUGUAAGGGGUCGUGAAAUUUCUGCUGUGGAACCUGUUCCCUGCUUCAGCUCGUAUGUUCAUCAGAGACCUUGAGUGCUGCACAUUUUCCAGCAGCUUAGGUCUUCUUAUUUGGUUGUUAAAAGGGCUUGAAAGCUUAGUCAGAAACUUGGUUUGAAAACAAAUGUAAGAUGUGGUGAACAUGAUAAAAACCUUAUGGACCAUCUUCUUUCAAGGCACUUUCCUGAAGAAUAGAAAUAAUAAUUUUGUGAUUCUC